AUUUCAAUUUAUUUUAUUUUUCAACCACUUAAAUAUGACUUAUAUAAUCAUUUUUUUAUUUUACUUUCCUUUUAUAUUUAUUUUAUUUAUUUAACUAUUUAAUUAUUAGAUUUGUAUUAAUUAUUAUUUUUAUUAAACAACUUUAAAUGAUUUUAUUUAUAUUGUAUUAUUAUAUACACACUCUAAAACCAUAUCCAAAAUCACUGUUCACAGUAAUAGUGAUUUUGAAAAUAAUUGUGCUUUUGCUUGUCUAUUUCAGUGGUGGGAGAAAUAAAUUGGCAGCAUAAAACUGACC
Molecule: unclassified non-coding RNA, 295 nt
Filed under: Hevea brasiliensis (rubber tree)
Lineage: Eukaryota; Viridiplantae; Streptophyta; Magnoliopsida; Malpighiales; Euphorbiaceae
Source: RNAcentral